AGAGUUUGAUCCUGGCUCAGGAUGAACGCUGGCGGCGUGCCUAAUACAUGCAAGUCGAGCGAACAGAUAAGGAGCUUGCUCCUUUGAAGUUAGCGGCGGACGGGUGAGUAACACGUGGGUAACCUACCUAUAAGACUGGGAUAACUUCGGGAAACCGGAGCUAAUACCGGAUAACAUUUAGAACCGCAUGGUUCUAAAGUGAAAGAUGGUUUUGCUAUCACUUAUAGAUGGACCCGCGCCGUAUUAGCUAGUUGGUAAGGUAACGGCUUACCAAGGCGACGAUACGUAGCCGACCUGAGAGGGUGAUCGGCCACACUGGAACUGAGACACGGUCCAGACUCCUACGGGAGGCAGCAGUAGGGAAUCUUCCGCAAUGGGCGAAAGCCUGACGGAGCAACGCCGCGUGAGUGAUGAAGGGCUUCGGCUCGUAAAACUCUGUUAUUAGGGAAGAACAAAUGUGUAAGUAACUGUGCACAUCUUGACGGUACCUAAUCAGAAAGCCACGGCUAACUACGUG
RNAcentral lists this ribosomal RNA (517 nucleotides) under uncultured Staphylococcus sp. RNAcentral describes it as "bacterial SSU rRNA". It matches the Rfam family "Bacterial small subunit ribosomal RNA", at positions 8 to 507 of the family's 1533-position model. Lineage: Bacteria; Bacillati; Bacillota; Bacilli; Caryophanales; Staphylococcaceae. The record is from RNAcentral.